This 467-nucleotide ribosomal RNA is filed under the name uncultured bacterium. Its description in RNAcentral is "partial 16S ribosomal RNA". It matches the Rfam family "Bacterial small subunit ribosomal RNA", at positions 28 to 506 of the family's 1533-position model. The record is from RNAcentral.
AACGAACGCUGGCGGCGUGCUUAACACAUGCAAGUCGAACGGAAAGGCCCUGCUUUUGUGGGGUGCUCGAGUGGCGAACGGGUGAGUAACACGUGAGUAACCUGCCCUUGACUUUGGGAUAACUUCAGGAAACUGGGGCUAAUACCGGAUAGGAGCUCCUGCUGCAUGGUGGGGGUUGGAAAGUUUCGGCGGUUGGGGAUGGACUCGCGGCUUAUCAGCUUGUUGGUGGGGUAGUGGCUUACCAAGGCUUUGACGGGUAGCCGGCCUGAGAGGGUGACCGGCCACAUUGGGACUGAGAUACGGCCCAGACUCCUACGGGAGGCAGCAGUGGGGAAUAUUGCACAAUGGGCGGAAGCCUGAUGCAGCAACGCCGCGUGCGGGAUGACGGCCUUCGGGUUGUAAACCGCUUUCGCCUGUGACGAAGCGUGAGUGACGGUAAUGGGGAAAGAAGCACCGGCUAACUACGU